GGUCGUGUGGUCCAGGGGCAAGACAGGAGCCUGCAAAGCUCUUAACGGCGGUUCGAAUCCGCCCACGGCCU
RNAcentral lists this transfer RNA (71 nucleotides) under Prasinoderma coloniale. RNAcentral describes it as "tRNA-Cys". It matches the Rfam family "tRNA". From Rfam's summary of the family: Transfer RNA (tRNA) molecules are approximately 80 nucleotides in length. Their secondary structure includes four short double-helical elements and three loops (D, anti-codon, and T loops). Lineage: Eukaryota; Viridiplantae; Prasinodermophyta; Prasinodermophyceae; Prasinodermales; Prasinodermaceae. The record is from RNAcentral.